UGCUCGUCGACGUGGACGCCGUCUUCUUUCCUGCGAUGUGCCGAAGGGGAACUGCUCGCCGGGAGUCACCCAUGGCCAGGAUCUUGAUCUUGAUGCACAACCAGGAGGUGAACUAGGAUUUCUGUUUCUUUGCACAGAUUCCACAACAUCUUGAUCGAUUCACUAGCUAAGCAAAAAGGCUACUCGUUCUUGUCGGCAAGUGCCCAGAAUGGGUAGAUGCAUUUUGAUAUGCAAUUUUUUAGUGUCCAUCCUUAGUUGUCAUUUCCACCCUAGUAUUUGUUCAUGCUAAAAAUAACACAUGGCAAAUUAUAUCAGUACUUAUUUCUAUAGCUA
Aegilops tauschii subsp. strangulata is the source of this 333-nucleotide long non-coding RNA. RefSeq lists it as uncharacterized. The record is from RefSeq and is a predicted model, not a curated record. Lineage: Eukaryota; Viridiplantae; Streptophyta; Magnoliopsida; Poales; Poaceae.